AUUGAACGCUGGCGGCAUGCCUUACACAUGCAAGUCGAACGGCAGCACGGGGGCAACCCUGGUGGCGAGUGGCGAACGGGUGAGUAAUACAUCGGAACGUGUCCUGUAGUGGGGGAUAGCCCGGCGAAAGCCGGAUUAAUACCGCAUACGCUCUACGGAGGAAAGGGGGGGAUCUUAGAACCUCCCGCUACAGGGGCGGCCGAUGGCAGAUUAGCUAGUUGGUGGGGUAAAGGCCUACCAAGGCGACGAUCUGUAGCUGGUCUGAGAGGACGACCAGCCACACUGGGACUGAGACACGGCCCAGACUCCUACGGGAGGCAGCAGUGGGAAUUUUGGACAAUGGGGGCAACCCUGAUCCAGCAAUGCCGCGUGUGUGAAGGAGGCCUUCGGGUUGUAAAGCACUUUUGUCCGGAAAGAAAACGCCGUGGUUAAUACCCGUGGCGGAUGACGGUACCGGAAGAAUAAGCACCGGCUAACUAC
This 480-nucleotide ribosomal RNA is filed under the name uncultured bacterium. RNAcentral describes it as "bacterial SSU rRNA". It matches the Rfam family "Bacterial small subunit ribosomal RNA", at positions 29 to 504 of the family's 1533-position model. The record is from RNAcentral.